Molecule: long non-coding RNA, 883 nt
Organism: Micropterus dolomieu (smallmouth bass)
Lineage: Eukaryota; Metazoa; Chordata; Actinopteri; Centrarchiformes; Centrarchidae
Exons: 3
Source: RefSeq, a predicted model, not a curated record
UCGUGCAGCACCUUGUCUGUCUCUGUCUCAUGAACACUGCUGCACAAAUCUGUCCAACACAACUGUCGAUGUCGGAGAGCGACCUUUAAAAAAGUUAUUAGCAAACUUGUAAGAAGCCUAGCUAAUAAGGAGAGCUAUUUUAACGUUAGUUCACUGCUGGGUUGUCGAGAUAAUCACGCUGUACAUCGCUGGAAGUCAAUACCGACUGUCAUUCUGUGGGAAACGCUGCACUUAAUUGGGAAACAAAGUGCUCUCUCUCUCUCUCUCUCACGGCACAGUGGAGUUUGUGUCGGGGUUCCGUGCUCGGGCACCGUUAGCGAUCACGCUACAGGCGUAUCGUGCAGGAGCGAUCACACUGGUCAAACGAACAGGACUUUGGGGUUUAAACGUGCUCGGGCACGGUACGGAUCGCCUAGUAUGGCUUUUCAGAGAAACAGCUGGUGGUGGAGAGGCUGCACUGCAGGAGUUUAGAUGAUGGCGUCCCAUUAGAGGUGGACAACUUGGUCUAUGUGGAAACUGGUGCAGUGUGAGUCUUGGCAGUGUUGGUGAUAUCCUCCAAAACCAGGCACACAGAGGCUCUCAAGGCAGCACACACCGUAUGGAUGAUACUGUGCACAGCUUUGCCUGAGGGUAAGACUGACCUUUGGUCAAACCAUCUGUGCACUGAAGAGACAUGAGAUCACAUGAUCUGCCUAUCCACUAUGUCUCCCAGCAGGUGAUAAUUAUCAUUGAAUAGCUUUACUCUGAUAUACGAGCUAUGGUAUAGACUCAGUUAUUGUGUGAUUUAUACUUCACAUUAGUUGCAUACUGUUAGUGGUCCAGUCUUGAAACAGUACUUUUAUGAUUUUUUUUAAUGAUGUCAUAAAAACACUUCAUUAUUUCA